Long non-coding RNA from Puntigrus tetrazona (Sumatra barb), 1597 nucleotides. RefSeq lists it as uncharacterized. The record is from RefSeq and is a predicted model, not a curated record. The transcript is spliced from 2 exons. NCBI's taxonomy places the organism in Eukaryota, Metazoa, Chordata, Actinopteri, Cypriniformes, Cyprinidae.
ACACACACACACACACACACACACACACACACACACACACACACACACACACACACACACACACACUCACACUCUUACACUCACACACACACACACUCCGCUUGUCUCGCCGUCGUCUUCACGCUGCUUGAGGAGAAGCGUGACACACAGCCCGAGUGCUUCUGCUGGUACGCUCACUGCAGAUGCCGCUGUGCAUUAUGGGAACGCGCGACUCUUUCACCGAAAACUGCUUCUGCAUCCCACGAUGCCGUGCAAACCCUCGGGAGAUUUCAUAGGAUCUAUUGUGGUUUACCUCGUUUUUUUUUUGUUGCUUUGAUUUGACGGAACUCAAAGAUGAAGACCCGGCUGUGAACGCCGGAAGGCAUCAUGGGAGAUUGUUCAAAUGUUUCUGCACUGGAGUGACGCUCUGAGCUUCUUCAUGUUCCAGCAGGUCCAUCGUCAGGAGAUAAACUGCACUGAGCCAUCUUUCACACGACCGUCCUCAUCCUCAGAACAGAUCCUUCAUCACUUCCUCUCAUAGUGAGAAGCGCAGCGGUGUUUUCUGUUCCAGCGUCGUCUGGCUCCCGUUACAUUUAUCCCUUCAUCAAGAAGACACGAGGAGAGUAAAAGAUGACCGAAUGAUGAGUUUUAUUAAAUGCACACAUCAGGGUUUAGGAUGUUUUCAGUCGUGAUUUUUUUCUAGAUAUCCAGAAAGAUAUUUUCUAUAGAUCAGGAUAUAAUACCACAUUUAAAAAGCGACUAGAUGCAUUCACUUCCUGUGAGCUUCACAACAGAACAGAACUAAAACAGCUACGGUUUCAUUUAAAACAAUCAUUUGCACCGAUCGAGUAUUUUGGAGAUAAAUGGUUUUUUUUCUACAAACACUUGACAGUAAGAUUUUAUUUGUUAAUGUGUUUAGUUAAAAUGAACUAUUAAUAAGCAAUAUAUGCAUUUACAGCAUUUUUUUAAUUGGUUAAUUAUGGUUAAAAAAAGGCAUUUUUUAAAAGCGUAGUAUGUUCAUAACAGCAGUGUAAUAACUAAACACUGAGCACUGAUAUGAUGAAAUGUUCAAUUCUCCAUAUAUAAGAUGAUAAAUGCUGUACUAGUUAGCUGUUAACUGAUGGACGGAGAUGAACUGAUGAAAGCUGACUGUGAAGUGAUGUUCUCUGGUCAGGCCUGCUGUGUGUUGAUCUGCUGGACGUGUCUCUCUCUUGUGUUUCUUGAGUUCUUGUGUUUGUCUGUGAGUUUCUUCUCCUGGAGUGAAACGCUCUGUGUUUAACAUCUCUGUUACAGAGGAAAUACCUGCGACUAGGACUGACGCCGCAUUCAUUUAGUCUUAAUUUUAACGAGGAGGAGUAUGAAGCUGCUAGAAGAGUUUCAGUGGCAUUAGAGGAAGUGAUGUCAGAGGAAGCCGUAGCUUGUGCUCUCAUUCACUGCAAUAACCGCGGAGCAGCUGAGCUUCACUGCAGCAUGAACGUCUGCGUUUAUCAAGAGAACAGAGAUUAUAAAGCUAUAUUUAAGUUUUCGUGUGUUUGCUGUGCUAAUUUAUAUUGAUGUGACCUCUGACCUUUGUUGUGAAUGUUUUUGGGGUUUUUUUAAGAAAAGUUUUAAGAACCAA